GGGGAUUAAGGAGCUUCGCUCUUGAUGAAGUUAGCGGGCGGACGGGUGAGUAACACGUGGGUAACCUGCCCAUAAGACUGGGAUAACUCCGGGAAACCGGGGCUAAUACCGGAUAACAUUUUGAACCGCAUGGUUCGAAAUUGAAAGGCGGCUUCGGCUGUCACUUAUGGAUGGACCCGCGUCGCAUUAGCUAGUUGGUGAGGUAACGGCUCACCAAGGCAACGAUGCGUAGCCGACCUGAGAGGGUGAUCGGCCACACUGGGACUGAGACACGGCCCAGACUCCUACGGGAGGCAGCAGUAGGGAAUCUUCCGCAAUGGACGAAAGUCUGACGGAGCAACGCCGCGUGAGUGAUGAAGGCUUUCGGGUCGUAAAACUCUGUUGUUAGG
RNAcentral lists this ribosomal RNA (389 nucleotides) under Bacillus sp. (in: firmicutes). RNAcentral's name for it is "bacterial SSU rRNA". It matches the Rfam family "Bacterial small subunit ribosomal RNA", at positions 67 to 443 of the family's 1533-position model. The record is from RNAcentral. Lineage: Bacteria; Bacillati; Bacillota; Bacilli; Caryophanales; Bacillaceae.